GACGAACGCUGGCGGCGUGCUUAACACAUGCAAGUCGAACGGAAAGGCCCUGCUUUUGUGGGGUGCUCGAGUGGCGAACGGGUGAGUAACGCGUGAGUAACCUGCCCUUGACUUUGGGAUAACUUCAGGAAACUGGGGCUAAUACCGGAUAGGAGCUCCUGCUGCAUGGUGGGGGUUGGAAAGUUUCGGCGGUUGGGGAUGGACUCGCGGCUUAUCAGCUUGUUGGUGGGGUAGUGGCUUACCAAGGCUUUGACGGGUAGCCGGCCUGAGAGGGUGACCGGCCACAUUGGGACUGAGAUACGGCCCAGACUCUUACGGGAGGCAGCAGUGGGGAAUAUUGCACAAUGGGCGGAAGCCUGAUGCAGCAACGCCGCGUGCGGGAUGACGGCCUUCGGGUUGUAAACCGCUUUCGCCUGUGACGAAGCGUGAGUGACGGUAAUGGGUAAAGAAGCACCGGCUAACUACGUG
RNAcentral lists this ribosomal RNA (468 nucleotides) under uncultured bacterium. RNAcentral describes it as "partial 16S ribosomal RNA". It matches the Rfam family "Bacterial small subunit ribosomal RNA", at positions 28 to 507 of the family's 1533-position model. The record is from RNAcentral.